This 143-nucleotide ribosomal RNA is filed under the name uncultured rumen bacterium. RNAcentral describes it as "partial 16S ribosomal RNA". It matches the Rfam family "Bacterial small subunit ribosomal RNA", at positions 340 to 500 of the family's 1533-position model. The record is from RNAcentral.
UACGGGAGGCAGCAGUGGGGGAUAUUGCACAAUGGGGGGAACCCUGAUGCAGCGACGCCGCGUGGGUGAAGAAGUAUUUCGGUAUGUAAAGCCCUAUCAGCAGGGAAGAUAAUGACGGUACCUGAGUAAGAAGCCCCGGCUAA